RNAcentral lists this long non-coding RNA (273 nucleotides) under Lathyrus oleraceus (garden pea). RNAcentral's name for it is "Pisum sativum (pea) long non-coding RNA (PSAT_LNC010984)". Lineage: Eukaryota; Viridiplantae; Streptophyta; Magnoliopsida; Fabales; Fabaceae. The record is from RNAcentral.
UUUACUUGCUCUUUACGCCUCACAUUCUAAAACAAACUUUUCAUCAUGAUUAAUAUCGUUAUGUUUGUUUGUGUUACCAUGGUGGUAUAAGCCUGAACUCCGUUGUGCCUUUCAUCAAGGAGCUCCCUACCAUGAGCUCCUUUGAAUGUCUCUUUAUCUCUCUAAUACAUAGACCUCAGCUGGUCUCUAUCGGGAUCCAUAUCCACAUUAUACUUGUACUAUUUCACAAAAGCUUCACCCAAAUUGUUGAACGUAUGAACACUUGCACUGUAU